CCAUGGCUCAAGAUGAAUAAGUCAACUGCUAUUUGAUAAAAGGCUGGGGCAAGUGUUGACUAAAUGCUUUGGUAUAACACAAGUAACUCUUAAAUUUUGUUAUUAUUUAAAGCUUGGAUUGCUCUGUGUGUAGGCUGAAGCUGGAAAAAACCUCUCAGGUGGUUCCUGUAUGACAUGUAACCAACCCAGAUUCCAUUGGCAAUAACAGACCUGCAUGGCAGCUGUCUGAAGAGAUUGUCCAACAAAGUAAUGGGUCAUUGGCAUACUGGCAGAGAGAAUGACAUCAUCUGUUCUGUAGGGAGGUACAUGUUGAGGGAAUCCUCCUCUCGAUGUGCAUCCAUGGAAGCUCAUGGUUACUAGUGUGAUGACAUCUAUACCAACCCUAAUCAGUCACAAAGGGAGGCAAAGAAAUGGUUUCCUGACAGGGCAAGGAAGAGUACCAAUAGCUAGUAAAUCUGCAUCACAGCUUGAAAUGCCUGACCUGAUUCAUGAUGAGCUGAUGCCAAUGAUUGUAUAUCUCCCCAAAUAGUGAGGCUGAAGAUGAAAAGUUGACUUUUGGCCAUGACUUCUUUGGCAGGAGGUAUGUCAUGUGAAUGACAAGGGGUGGGGCUAGCGUAAUAUACAAUUGACAAAUAAAGGAGUAGGCUGUAAA
Long non-coding RNA from Peromyscus leucopus (white-footed mouse), 652 nucleotides. RefSeq lists it as uncharacterized. The transcript has 5 exons. NCBI's taxonomy places the organism in Eukaryota, Metazoa, Chordata, Mammalia, Rodentia, Cricetidae. The record is from RefSeq and is a predicted model, not a curated record.